Molecule: long non-coding RNA, 3294 nt
Filed under: Mus musculus (house mouse)
Lineage: Eukaryota; Metazoa; Chordata; Mammalia; Rodentia; Muridae
Description: distal-less homeobox 6, opposite strand 1
Rfam family: Embryonic ventral forebrain-2 long ncRNA (bases 1-140)
Source: RNAcentral
ACACCUGGAUGUGCUCACUCAACCAAGAAUAUAGAGACAGAGCCUCUGCCCUGAGACUCAGAGAAACGCUCUCCUGUGCCUCCCUCCGCUCAGUAUAGAUUUCUAGACCCUGAUCAUUGCUUAAGAGAUAUUCACCGGGGUCCUACGUCUCUGCAAUUUGUGUAUGAAUAACAGAAUAAUUUCCCUCUUUUGUUUCGCCUUUCCUGUUCCUGAAUCUAAAUAAAGAUGGCUUUUUAGUAUUAAAAGUGGAAGAAAAUUACAGGUAAUUAUCUUUGACGGUAAAAACGCUGUAAUCAGCGGGCUACAUGAAAAAUUACUCUAAUUAUGGCUGCAUUUAAGAGAAUGGAAAAAAACCUUCUUGUGGAUAAAAACCUUAAAUUGUCCCCAAUGUCUGCUUCAAAUUGGAUGGCACUGCAGCUGGAGGCUUUGUUCAGAAUUGAUCCUGGGGAGCUACGAACCCAAAGUUUCACAGUAGGAAGGGGGAAAAAAGAAAAGAAAACAUUUUUCCUAAUGUAACAAUGCGAAUGCUAGAAAAUGACAAGACUGAUCGGUUUUAAACCAUUCUGAAGACUGACUGAGCGUGGAAGUUGCUCAACAAAAAAGGGAACGGGGAUAUUGAUUCUGGUAAUCUAGACUUUCAUGGGUUCAAGCUCCAUUUACAAUUUGUCAUUAUGCCAUGGGAGUGUUCGUGUCACUGUGAUGGUUACUAUUCUAUUUCUGUAAAGAGACACCAUGUCUAUUAAAAAGAGCAUAUAAUUGGAGGCUUGAUUACAGUUUCAGAUGAACCAGAGAGAAACCUACGCCCAGAAGAACAUGUCCCUGGAUUGCUUUCCCACUGCUGUGGAGUGUCUUGAACACUGGUCCCUGGACACCAACUUCAAGAAGACUUCAUGGAUGGCUGUCCAGUCUUAUGAGCCACAGUUUCCCCUCUACAUUUUCUUCACUCCAGCGAGGCUCUUAUCAGGGUCAGAUCAGAGAUGAACCAGCUGGACGACAGAUUGGAGCGCUGACCUCUUAGAGUGCUAACAGUGAACAGUGUGGGGUCAGAUCUAUAGAAAGAUAAUAAUAAGAAAACACCCUAUAUGCAAGGGAGAGGGAUGGUUCAUAAUUUCUUAAAGAUUGAAAUCAAGGAACAAUCAAAAUAUAGAAGAAUGUGGACGUGUUUUGCUGCAGGACUUCUGUUUUGUCCCCAUUGGAAUAUGUAUUAUGGUAUUCCUGUUGGAUCAGGACUCAGGGGCAAGGCUAAGCAUUCCAGUGGUCCUCCUACUUAGCUCUUGUCCUUUCGUAAGAAACACCAACUCAUUAGUCUCUAUAUUACUUCUCUGUACUGUAGAUCUGCAUUCUUGAUCUGAGAGAUAUUGGCAAUGACACUCUUGUAUGAUAAAGCUCAAUGAUAAGAGUACUUCAAACCCCCUUGAACUUUUUGUUUAUACAUCAAGUGGUGACAUUGUGUAUUGAGCUAAUUAGAUCAAUGGAGUCACAGGGUGAUACUGAACUCUUUUAAAAUAUUUGGCUGAAACAUGACAUUGUAGUUAUUUGUAGAAGAGAACAUUAUGGAAUAUGAAAAACAUCACAGAACACAGAACUAGCAGCAGAAACUAGCAGCAGGUAGACAUUUUUCCUUUUCCAUAGAGCUUUCAACCAAAUGUCUCUGUAGAAAAUAGUGGCUAUCGUGUAUAUAUAUAGCCACAUAGAUGUCCUUGAGUGUACCCUGUAGUCAGUGGGAGAGUUCCUACUGCCACAGUCAUGGCCAUGGCUAUGUUCUCUAAGCCUACAUUUUAUAAACACUCUGUGAAUCUUGACUACUUUUCUUUAGCAAGCAUUGCAAAGUCCUGGGAUGUCAGAGAAGUGCCUGGGGUUGGCAGGGUUUCUAGAGAGGAAAUUGUUAAAUGAUUUGAACCAGAAAACAAACAGGGGAUGGGGUUCAGAACCAACAAUUACCUCUAUUCUAUGUAGGAAACCACAACAUGAAAUAUGCUGGGCAUGGAAACUUUGAUACCUUGGUUUUUCAUUCUUUUUAAAAAUUAAUACUAAAGAGCUAUGCGACUGUAGGCAAGCCAUUUCCCAUCCCCUGUGAAUAUCUCCCAGAUGACUUUAAAUCCCUUCUAGUUCUGAAAGGCUUUUAACAUCAGGGCCCAGGCUCCAGUGGCCAGUUUCAAAAUACCCUCCCUUUUGAUGUUAGGUUACAUAAACAUUGUUCUUUUUUAGGGAGGGUCUCUUUUAUCAACUUUUAAAAACACACAUCAGGUUCUCUGGUAUUAAAAAGAUGCCAUCUCUGAGUCCCCUACUAUCUGUGCUGCCUGCCUUUCCUCCUGUUCUUUCCUUAUUCCCAUCCCUAUUGAACUUGUGCUAUGCAGUAUGCAUCAGGUAUGUGUUAGCUUUGGGGAUACAUGAUAGAUAAACUGGACACACAGGGUCUUCCCAUUCUCUUCUGGAAUUUUCUUUGGAGGGAGCCUCUUGUAUCUAGACAGACCGUGCUGUGGUACCCCAGAGGUAACCACCUACAGGCUUCACUCUGCCUAAGCAAUUUUGCUGUGCACUAAGAUACACAUUCAAGUAACUUUAGAUUACCACAAUAACUUUCUCCAGGUAUGAGGAAAAGAGAUAAUUUACUUCUGAGAUGUGUAUAGGAUAGCCCUCCAUCCUGGGAAGAACAGUGACUACUCCCUGCAUCCCGACCUUGCCCAGGGAAAGCUAAUGUUUCUCUGUGUUAUCCCUGUGACUUGCCACUUCUUUAAAAAGGAAUGGGCAAACAAUAAACAGACAAAAAUGUUGUCUGACCUCAUUGGAAAUCCUUUUAAGAAUUAAUCCUUUCUAUCUCCUUCAUUAUCAACAAAUCUAUUGAAUACUUAUCUCUGAGUCCAGGGCAUAUUUUAUAAUACAUAAAACAAUGGAAUUUCAAAAUUGGAGCACUGACAUACAAUAUUGGUUUUGAGUAUUUUUAUUAUAGGGAAUGACUUUAGACAUUGCAAUUUAUGACUUAACUGAUAAAAUGGAUGACUCUUGACUUUCAAUUUUCAUUUUCAGUUCAGUCGAGGAAUAGCUUCCUCCAGGUAAUGUCUAUACUUUCCUAUGACUAAGGGCUCUAACUAUCUCUGUUGCUUUUCUUUAUGUAGGCAUAUGUUAGUAUUUAUUUUCUAUAUGACAAAUGUAUUAAAGAAAGCAUGAAAUUAAUGAGAUAAACUUUUCAGAUAGGAGUUUAGAAAAUCAAGGGGCCAAGAUAAAUAAAUGAAAAAUCAACUUAAAUAAUUAACAUAUUCCAGAUAUAUUGGAAUAAAUGUUUAUUGUACCCUU